Peromyscus eremicus (cactus mouse) is the source of this 8911-nucleotide RNA transcript. It is a transcript of the gene named synaptonemal complex protein 3-like, with no coding region annotated. The record is from RefSeq and is a predicted model, not a curated record. The transcript has 10 exons. NCBI's taxonomy places the organism in Eukaryota, Metazoa, Chordata, Mammalia, Rodentia, Cricetidae.
CAGAGCUAAACCCAAGGCGCAUGCACCGCCAGAGCCCGUCGCGCUUCGAUGGCGUCACACAAGGCGCAUUGUCCGAGAUCUGGUCUCAUCCAUUGAUGCCGCCUGGAGCAAGUCUGUCUGUGUACUGUGCGCAAGUUGUUUCUUGGGCACAAGGGAUUUUUCCAGCGGAAAGGUAAACAAGAAAGAGUCCUGGUGGCUGAAAGCUGCUGAACGAAGUGAAGAAAGGGGAAGAGUGAGUGAGACCUGAAGGAAACGUCAUCAAAGCGCUCCGGAAGCGUCCGACAAUGAAGGCUGUGAUUUACCAUGCCUUUUCUCAUAAAGAAGCCAAGGAGCACGAUGUACAGCAGGAGCUUGGAAGCCAGCGGGCUGAGGCCUUUGUGAGGGCCUUCCUGAAGCAGAGCAUAGUUCACUGGAGCCAGCAAGACUUUUGAGAGCCAUCUGCAACUUAAGGCUGUGGUCUUGGAAUACUUGUCAGAAGCCAAAGCAGCAGAAGAAGAAAUCCAAAGGCCUCACUGCCAAACAGAGGAGAGACAUGAGGCUCUUUGACAUUAACCCAGAGCAACAGAGAUGCUCAUAAUCAAUGCCCUUGAAAGAGGACUUUUCUGUUAAUAUCCACCAAGCACCGUUGGAGACUCUGACCCCAGGAAUGCCACAGGCAAAACAGCAAUGGGCUGCAAACUGCUUCCACCACGGGCAUUCUCUGUCCAGCUUCAAACACUGGUGUUGCAUUGGCCGUUUAUUUCUUCUUUUAUGGAAUAACCAGACACAGGCCCAGAACCCCAUGAUGCCCUGGAAAAUGUAUAAGCAACAUACAAUGCUCUGCUCUGCACAUCUGGAGAGAUCCCACCUUGAUCUGCCCUGCAGCUGGAGAGUCUCCCCGAGGAUCCUGACCCUCAAAGACACUGUUAGAGGCUAGACCUGACCUUCAACUAAGAUACAUCACACAGGUGAGCAGCCUUGGGGAGGGAGGCUCAGGACACUAGUUAGGAAUUUAUGUGAUGACCUUCAGCAUAAUAAAAUAUACCUUUUGUUAUACUAACUGCAAAUAUCUACCCUCUUGUUCACAAGAAUCACAUACUUAAGUCUAAAAAUUCUCUUCAAUUAAAUUAAGUGAAUUUCCAUCUGUUUAUCCUUUAUAAAAUAAGUAUUUUUCACCCCCCAAAAAUUUUUAAGAUAUUUUUAUGCCAUUUGAUACAGCAGAGACAUCAGAAAUGCUCCUUUGUGGCCACUGAUGGUUACUGUUACUGUGUUUUAUAGAUACAUUGCUUUAAAACUAUCAAUUAUAAUUCAAAAUUCAGAAAGUAUGAUUGAGAAAGGUAUCAAAUUUAAAUAAUAUUUUAUUUAUUACUGUUCUGUGUGGAUGAUGUGCGUGGGGGUGGCACAUGUGUGGAAACUGGUGGACAACUUGGUGGGGUCUCUUCUUCCACCUUGAGUUCUGAGGAUCAAGCAAAGAUCAUCAGGCUUGUGUGUCAAGAAGCUCUUCCUGCUGAGCUUUGUCACUUGGCCAAUGUCAGAUUUUAAAAGAGAAGGCUAGCCACAGCAGGAGUUAGCACACAUCCACCAGUGUGCGUUUUUUAAUUUUUUUUGAGGAUUUUUAUACAUGAGGCCAAUGAAUUUUCUCAUCUCUUCCUUGCAACUCUUCCUGUGUCCCCACAAUGUCCCCUUCUCAAAACACUCCAUUUUCAAAUUCACUUCUUCCUUGAUAAGUAAUUUUACACCAUAUAUUCUACAGAGUCCAAGAUAUACCUGGGCUCUCAGAGCCUCAGUGUGUGUUGUGUUACAGAUACCCCAUUUGAAGAUAGAAACCCACAGUCAGGUGUUCUCUGAACUCUGACAACAAUCUUGUGUUGCAGAAGAAACCGCUUGAUGACAGAUUAACCUGUCAGAAUGGCUAAGAUCAACAGAAGAAGCGACAGCUCAUGCUGGGGAGGAUAUGAAGCAAGAGGAGCACUCCUCAUUUGCUGGUGUCCCAUGGAAGGCCUCAAACAACCCAAGCUGUUGCCAAGACAAUAGGUUUCGCUCCACAAACUACAGCAAGGCCUUAUUGCUGAAGACAACACACAUAUCUCUCAUUGGAUAUAGAGAAAUCAAGCUGAUGUAUGGUGAUGUAUUGUGUCCCCCAAUAUACUGUGUCUCCCAAUAAAAUAAAACUUGCCUGGAGAUCAGAGGAAAAAGUCAGCCACUAUAUAGCUGUCAGGCAAUGGUAGCACACACCUUUAAUCCUAUCACUUGGCAGGCAGGGAUCUAUCUGUCUGGAUCUCUGUGAGUUCAAGGCCACACUAGGGAACAGAGCCAGGUGUAGUGGUACACACCUUAAAUUCCAACACUAGUUAACCAUUGGGGUGUGGAGGUCUGUACAGACAGACAGGAAGUGACAAAGCUGGGCAGGAAGAGGAAGUGAUGUAGUUGGACAUAGAGAGCAAAUCAGACGGCAGAACAGCAAGAGAUAUAGGCGUGGAUAGACAGGAAGUCUCACCUUUGGAAGCUGCAGAGUUGGUGAGGUGAGGUUAGCAUGUGGCUGUUCCUAUUCCUCUGAUCUCUAUCUCAGGUUUUCACUUCAAUAUCUGUCUCCAUGUUUUUUUUUUAUUAAUAAGACCAUUUAGAAAUUUGUCUACAGUCCCCUUAUGUUUAAGGACUUCAUAGGAGACAACUGGGAUUGAAGACUUUAAAGCCAAAAGAUAUAGUUCCUAAUACGCUUUUGCUGACUCUCAGUUUUCUUUGCUUCUAUCAAACAAUGAUUUGGCUUGAUCCCUCAAGUUACCUAGUGGGUUGCUGUGGUCUGUAAGGCUUGACUAAUGCUGGAUGCCCUAGCAAAGCCUUCAGCGUUUGAUCAUUGUAUUAAAACAGUUGUCUUUACUUUAAGUAUAUUUCAAAUACUUGAGAAACCUAUGCUAUGGCAUGUAUUUAGAGUUGCCAAUAAUAUUGGCUUGAAGACAUCACUAGUUCAGGAGCCAAACAUCACUGUCAGGUGCAAUUAUCAGAGAAGCUUUAUAGAGGACAGUAUGAUCCUACAGAGACUUCCAGACUUCCACAGCUUCCUUUAGUCAAGAAGACUAUUUUAAAAACCUAAAGAUAUAUAAUCAGUUCAAUUCUUCCAAUCUGUGCAGUGUUUUUUUCUGUCUGCAAAGACAUCAGAAAUUAUUGCACCAGUGGUAACUAUGGCAACAUUGCAAGUGACUUACCCAAAGCUGUCACACUCUUCAUGGGACUCUCUUGAUAAAUACUAACUGGAAACACAGGAAAUAACUAGCACUUCAGUCCACUGUUUACCAAUCUUCCAUCUGCAUUAUAUGUUUUCUGGUGUUUAUGUUUUGCUCAAGGUCUCCUGUGUAUUCUCUUUCCGUGGUAUGUUUUGUCUGUAGCUACAAAAGUAAAUGAAACUAUUUUAAGUACACAUGAAGAACAUCUCACAGAUCACAGAUCCAAUAACUUGGGUUUACAGCAGUUGGAUUCGUUGAAUCUGCCUCACAUUGUUUCUCAAACUAGUCGUGAGCCCCUGUGUUUAAGUUAUCUCACUGCCUCAGCUUCUCCAGAGUUUCUAAGAAUAAAGCUUCACACUGCUGUGCCUGGCAGAGUCAAUUAACUUUAAUAAAAAAGGAUGAAAAUGCAUGAUAUGAUUCUGGUAGAGUUAUAUUUAUUAUGAGAACUCCCUUCCUGGCUGGAAUGCAAUUACCUACUUCUAAUUUUGCCUUUAAGUAGUGGAGGCAGAGAAAAACUCGUAUUAGCCUCAUGAGAACAAGGCUCCACCCUUCUGGCCUCAGUUUACCCUAACUAAUUCCUGAUUACCUUCUUACCAGUGCAAUUUCACUGGAGUCAGAGAUCCAUGGAUUUGGGAAAGACACACUUCAAUCUAUGCAACUCAUUUCUCUCUCCUUAUGAGAAAAACCUGAAAACUCAUUAAAAAAUGUAUUUUAAAGUUUAUCUGGGAGUACAUUUAGCUCUGUGUGUACAUGUGUUUCAUAUCCAUGAGACAUGCCAAUAAUGAAUUGAAAAUAUCUGAAAUAAGAGAGUCUAAACAUUUGCAGAUUCUUUUUCUUGUUUUUAUGCCCUAAGCAAUACUGCAUUUGCAAACGGGUUCGUUGAUUAGGUAUCAAUAUCAAUAUCAACAGAAAUGAAUGAAAGCCUACAGGAUGAAGUACAUAAGACAUAUGCAAAUUCUACAUCAUAAACAAUUUUAGGUUGUGGUAUUUGUAGGGGUUCAAAUAAACACCAGAUAAACAGAGAGUCAAUCAUAUAUUAUAUUGUUUAUAUUGUAUUAUUUAUGAGAAGAAAAAUCAGCUCUGUGCAGUUUAUUUUAGUUCAUAUGAAAUAUGACACUAAGUUCAAAAUUGACAAAGAUUUUCAGUAGGGCUUGGUGGGAUGAGGCAUGUGGAUCCUAAACAAAAUGUCCCUGAUGUGCAGCUGUGUGUCCUGUCCAGUGUCCCUGUAUAGCUCACAAUUUUGUUGCUUUCACAAAUACAUGGAGGAAAUAAUUUAAAUGGAGAAAGAUUUAUUUGGUGCAUGGCUGCCUGGAUCAUUGUCCUUAGGCCUGUGGUGAAAGAGAAUAUCUCUCCUCAUGGCAGCAGGAAGAAGAUAUGAGCUAAUGGGCUCCUCCUCCUCCUCUUUUGGUCCAUCUGAGCCCGAGGUGUUGAAUGGCACCGACCACAGUCAGAGUAAAUCUGAAUUUACCAUUCAUACUGAGAGCCCUCCCAGGAACACCCAGUGUACUUACCAAUUUCCCAAGUAUUUCUCAAUACAAUCCAGUUGACAGGCAAAUGGCCACUGUAUUCUUCCCUUCUUAAUUUCAUGGUCCUAUACAAGCAUACAUUUCACUAGCAUCAUAUACAGCCAUGGCCUACUUAUCACUCUAGGGUUCAUGUAUAAGUCUCUGUUUCAGGUGUUGACAUAGAUUUCCUGAGAUGCUUUGUGGUUUCAAAUUGCUACUGUACACAUUGUAGUAAGGUAGGAAAAGACAAUGUUAUGGGAAAAGUCAAUACUGUAGAGUUUUGCAAGGCCUACAGGAUCGUUCUGUGAGCACAGAUGGAAAUCCAAAUGGGAACCUUUGCAGUGUUAGAAUUACUGGCUUUCAUUUAUACAAAUCUUCUCAUUUUACAAGCUUAUUGUGGCUCAGAAAUGCCACCCCAUCAAUCCUCAUGGCUGCUCACAGGGACACUGAUGGGCUAUUAAAAUGAGCUCAGGGAACCCUGCAGAAGAGGAGGCAAUGUAUGCAAGAGCCAGAGGGGAUGAAGGACACCAGGACAGCAAAACCAACUAAAUCAACAGAGCAAGGCUCAUAUGAACUCACAGAGACUGAAGCAGCAGGCUUCAGAUUUGAAAGAUGUUGGAAAGUGGCAGAGGCAUGAAAGUAGAAAAGGCCAUUUCUGGAAAGAGAAAGAAGAUGAGGAAGAUGAAGAAGAGGAAGAGGACAGACAGAAGUGUCUGGGGGAUCAAGAGGUCAAUAGGGGUCAAUGUGAACAUUCCGUAGAUAGGCACACAUCAUAGUGAAAACAUUGCUUUGUAUAGUCAAUAUAAUAUAUGCUAAUAAAAAGAACAAAGAAAAAAUGUACCAAUAAAUUUUAUUAUAAGAGGAGAGAAAAUAUAGUGAAAUCCUUCCAGGAAGCAAUCUGUACCGGGACCUGGUGUUCUGCAUACAGUCUUUGCAUCUGAUCACUUUAGAGUCCAAUUACUCUAAAUUCCCCUGAACCCAGUUCUUCAUCUCCAAAAUAGACUGAAGAUUUUCACUUUUGCCCUCUUAGAAGGAUUAAAGGGAACAACAUCUGUGUGCAUCCCUUAGUGCGCACAGUAGGCUCUCAUUAAUAGUGUCAUUUCUGCACCUAGUAAGAGCAUUUUCCUCCAUUGUUUGAACAACUAAUUUUAGAUGAAUGUAUCAACCAGACUGAGUGUGUGGCGAGGUCAGAAAAUGUCCCUGGACCACUGUGUCUCAGGAGACACAUGUGAUACAAACGGAGUGGCCAAGUCAUACUGAUGAGUAGAGAAAACACUGAACGAACCAAGGCACAGCUCAGGUUUUCAUUAAGUCUCCCCGGAGCUGGAGGUGCACAGUCAUGUGGGAGUUCAUACUUCCUCUUUGUCUGAGAACUAUUGGCACUGCCAUUGGGAGAAAUGAAAGUUGUCAACCAAUACAUGGAUGACUCAUGGAAGCCAGCAUCCUGAAAAUGUCAGAAAUAAACCCACUAACUCAAUAAAAAACAGAGCUGAAAAAUGUCCAUAAGAUAUUGCAGUUCACCAGGGAUACAGAUGGUGGCACAUGCCUUUAAUCCCAGCACAUGGGAGGCAGAGGAAGGCAGAGCUCUGUGAGUUUGAGGCCAAGCUGGGCUACAGAGUGAGUUCCAGGAAAGGCACCAAAGCUAUACAGAGAAACCCUGUCUCAAAAAAAAAAAAAGAUAUUGCAACAUUCUGACUAUGAGUCUUAAUUAGAAUUCCAUCCCCUCCCACAGGUACAUGUGCCUUUAGAUUCUGACUGGACACAGUAUAUUGGGGAUAAAACUAUCUUCAGAAAGGAGAAACAGGAAAUGAAUUAUAGACUAUGGAGGACAUUAUGGUGCCAAGUGAUAUUCAAGUGACUGGAGCUAACUCAUUGGACAUCUACAGCAGGCAGUGAGAUAUGCACCUCAGAAUAUGCAGAACUUAGAAAAGAUCCCCAGGGACAGAAUCUGGAGUAAGGAUUCAUGAAAGUCUAGAGGCAGGAACAGAGCAAGCCUUGGCAGAUGGAGGUGGGCUUGAUAGCAAAAAUAAAAUAAGAAGCAGAAGUUUGAAGUAACAUUGAAGCCUUAAAAAUCUUCAUCAGUGAUUACAUGAGUGAUCUCACUCUGGGUCCUUAAGCGUCAUCAGUGUGUGACUGUCACAGAAAGGAUAAUGAGUGAUGUCAGGAGAAUAAGAUAAAGAGGACCGAGUGCUUAGAGGGAAAAUGCAUACCAGAAAGCUUACUACAUUUUAAAAUGUGCUAUUGUCAAGUCAGGGGUAACACUGAAAGUUUAUUUUUCUAUCUAGUUUUCUCCACUUUACUCCUUUUAAAAAAAGUGGGAUUUAGUUUUAAUAAUAUGUAAGAGUUAAAUUUUCUUAGAAGACUACUCAAAAGAUCUGUGUGGAGAUGUUAUCAAAAAAGAUGAAACAGCACAAUAUUUUAAAACUUUUAGUAAAUUUGGGUUUUUUUUCUCUAGGAAACAAACAAAAAAAAUGUGAGUUGUUCUCUUUCCAGAACUAUCUAAAUGCACAAAUGAGCCUAGGAGGGCGUGCUGAGAGGUCCAUGAGCCAGGUUCUCAGCCUGCAUCUGCCAGGCAUGGCUUGUCACCGAGGUUUUGGUUAACUGGAAGACAGGAUAAACCCACUUUUGAUUUUAAUUUCAUAAUUAGGUAACUAUACUCUGAAAUAUCAGGCAUUCACAUAUGGAAAAAGUCAGCACACAAGAAGUCACAAAAUAAUGUUUUUAUCCAUGAAAUAUUUUCUAGACAAUUGUCCAUUUUUCUUCCUGUAUUUACUUUUAUACUGAGGUUAAACCAAAGUUUUCAUACUUCAAAGUGAAUCAGUUAUAGAUAGCUUCACAUAGUUUAGCUUAUAGAUGAAAUACAUGAAAGUCUUUCUAUGAGCUUAUAAGAUGAUGGGAGUUUUCCAUGAAGAUAAGUUGCUAAAUUCUGAUUUAAAUUGAAAUUGAAAUUUUCGAUAAUUCUCCUAAUCAUAAAAGCAGUUUACCUUCACUCACUUAAUGAUCCCUCAACCUAUAUUGAAUACUCUUUCUGAUGAAUAGAGCAGUACAAAGGGACAUGAUACAGGGAGGAGAUAGACAAUGAAUGAAGCAAAUUAAAUUUAUGUACAUUGUGUCAAAUAGUAAUAAUUUCACAGAAGAUGAAUAAAGCCAAGGAGGAAGGUAGGUUUGUAGGAAUGUGAAAAACAGAUUGAAAAGGCACUUUCUAAAGACAGGAAAAUACACAUGUGCUGAGGAAAUAACUAUUGUGACUGUCUCUUGAAAACCAUGGAAGACAGAACAGAAAGCAGAUGUCAAAACAGCCUUUGCCUGAUGGGGGAAGGGAGCUAGUGUAGACAAAAGAGAGUGUGCCCAGGAGAGUCAGUAGGGAGUAAGGGAGCUCACCUAGGACACUGGGUGAUCGUGGGGAACUGAGGACAAGUUGGAAUGGCAUCUGUACUCUGAGAAGUAUAGGUCAACAAUUAACCAUCAAAAUAUAAUAAAAUCAGAUGACUAGAUUCUAAAGACAAGGUAUAAACUAUUCUUUGAUGAGGCUUUGGGAUAUAUUAGCACUCAAAGGUUCUUGUUUCCAAACCUGAUGACUUCCAUUGAUCCCUGGAUCCCCCACUGUGGAAGGAGAAAGCUAACUCUCCUCAUUUUCCUUCUGCCUCCACACUCGUGCCAUGAUAUGUAUACGGAAACAUGCACACACAUCAACAUACAAAAACGCAUAGACUUACAAGCAAACUAAUAAAUACAGGGGAAAAUAAUUAGAAUACUUUGGGAAAUGAUGAAGUUAUCUUUUGACAAAGAUGAAGUGAUCUCCCCACGAAGGAUUCCUUCACUUGGAAUAAAUUUUUUGGUUUUUAUACACUACUCACAGAAGCAGGAUCAAAGACUCAAAAGUCAAUCCCUUUUGAACAAAGCAGACACUGCUGGGCUUUAUGAAACCAUCACAAAUUACCUCUAACUUGUUCACUCCAUUUUCACAGACUGGCCUGUCAUAGCAUGUAUAAUGCCUAUUACAAAUCAUGCUAAACACAAGAAACACUUCUAUACAUGCCUGUGUGGAUAAUCCCCUGAAACUGAAAGUUGAAAGUCAGUUUUAGUUUCUUGUUACAGAAUCAUGUCUCAAAGGAAAGCACAUGUUGUACACCUUGAAUAAACUAUCUUCAGUGCCCUUCAUCUCUGAACUCUUAGUUUACAAUAAAUGAUGUCUCUGAAAAUUCA